Molecule: unclassified non-coding RNA, 347 nt
Filed under: soil metagenome
Description: partial contains 5.8S ribosomal RNA, internal transcribed spacer 2, and large subunit ribosomal RNA
Rfam family: 5.8S ribosomal RNA (bases 1-120)
Source: RNAcentral
GAUGAAGAACGCAGUGAAAUGCGAUAAUUAAUGUGAAUUGCAGAAUUCAGUGAAUCAUCGAGUCUUUGAACGCACAUUGCGCCCCCUGGUAUUCCGGGGGGCAUGCCUGUCCGAGCGUCAUUGCUGCCCUCAAGCACGGCUUGUGUGUUGGGCCCCCGUCCCCCCCUCCCGGGGGACGGGCCCGAAAGGCAGCGGCGGCACCGCGUCCGGUCCUCGAGCGUAUGGGGCUUUGUCACCCGCUCUGUAGGCCCGGCCGGCGCCUGCCGACCACCAUCAAUCUUUUUUCAGGUUGACCUCGGAUCAGGUAGGGAUACCCGCUGAACUUAAGCAUAUCAAUAAGCGGAGGA